UACAGAGGGUGCGAGCGUUAAUCGGAAUUACUGGGCGUAAAGCGCGCGUAGGCGGCUUUUCAAGUCGAUUGUGAAAUCCCCGGGCUUAACCUGGGAACUGCAGUCGAAACUGUCUAGCUAGAGUAUGGGAGAGGGAAGUGGAAUUUCAGGUGUAGCGGUGAAAUGCGUAGAUAUCUGAAGGAACAUCAGUGGCGAAAGCGACUUCCUGGACCAAUACUGACGCUCAUGUGCGAAAGCGUGGGGGGCAAACAGG
RNAcentral lists this ribosomal RNA (253 nucleotides) under uncultured bacterium. Its description in RNAcentral is "partial 16S ribosomal RNA". It matches the Rfam family "Bacterial small subunit ribosomal RNA", at positions 524 to 776 of the family's 1533-position model. The record is from RNAcentral.